AAUGCUCAAAGACAGCAUUGAGGUAUUUAGUUUUCAGUAAUGGGUCAGACAAACACAUGAUCGAAGUUGGCAGUAAAAAUCGUAUUCGAUAUUGUUUAAUGUCGGUUGUCAAGUCACAGAGCCUGAACUAUGCUGUACCAACUUCCGCCCAAAAAGGCAAAAACGAGGAAGAAACUAACAGGUGGCCCAGCUAAAGUGGAAGAACGGAGAGAAGUGGAAUAAACUUGUAGGGUGGCAGUUAUUUCAAGAACCCUGUCUUGAGUUCUUAGAAAUAAUCUGUGAAUCACAUGUGUUGCGCAACAUUUUCCCUGAAAAGAAAAAGUUUUCCCUUUGGUUGCUAUGUUGAUGUAAAUCCAUUGGAUGUACCACUUGAUGUGCUCGCAAGUCACUCCACUUCUCGUCCAGUAUACAUGCUGUACCCACAGAAAGGAUAUAAACAUAAAUUACACAAAAGUAUAUGCUUUGAAACUGCAAAAAUUAACAUGGACUGAAUCUUACCAUAUGUAUUAUAUGACAGUGUUGAUGUAUUGAUAACCAAAUGGGUGACUUUCAAUAAAUACACACUUGUUUGAAAUUUUUGUUUGUUUAUUUUUUUCCUCCCUCCCUCGUAGGUUUUAAAUUUUCAUGUUACGUUAAACGUAGAAUUAAUUUUAAACAGCCUUAUGUGGAAAAAUUCAGAUUUAGAUAAUGUAUUUCAUUUGGCUGUGUAUUCUUUUUGACAUUUUUGGCGAUAAGCUGCUUUCC
This is a long non-coding RNA of Magallana angulata, 744 nucleotides long. RefSeq lists it as uncharacterized. The transcript has 3 exons. The record is from RefSeq and is a predicted model, not a curated record. NCBI's taxonomy places the organism in Eukaryota, Metazoa, Mollusca, Bivalvia, Ostreida, Ostreidae.